AGUGAACGCUGGCGGUAGGCCUAACACAUGCAAGUCGAACGGCAGCACAGUAAGAGCUUGCUCUUACGGGUGGCGAGUGGCGGACGGGUGAGGAAUACAUCGGAAUCUACUUUUUCGUGGGGGAUAACGUAGGGAAACUUACGCUAAUACCGCAUACGACCUACGGGUGAAAGCAGGGGAUCUUCGGACCUUGCGCGAUUGAAUGAGCCGAUGUCGGAUUAGCUAGUUGGCGGGGUAAAGGCCCACCAAGGCGACGAUCCGUAGCUGGUCUGAGAGGAUGAUCAGCCACACUGGAACUGAGACACGGUCCAGACUCCUACGGGAGGCAGCAGUGGGGAAUAUUGGACAAUGGGCGCAAGCCUGAUCCAGCCAUACCGCGUGGGUGAAGAAGGCCUUCGGGUUGUAAAGCCCUUUUGUUGGGAAAGAAAAGCAGCAGGUUAAUACCCCGCUGUUCUGACAGUACCCAAAGAAUAAGCACCGGCUAACUUCGU
Molecule: ribosomal RNA, 491 nt
Filed under: uncultured bacterium
Lineage: Bacteria
Description: partial 16S ribosomal RNA
Rfam family: Bacterial small subunit ribosomal RNA
Source: RNAcentral